Molecule: long non-coding RNA, 2583 nt
Organism: Homo sapiens (human)
Lineage: Eukaryota; Metazoa; Chordata; Mammalia; Primates; Hominidae
Exons: 4
Source: RefSeq, a predicted model, not a curated record
UGGCGGGAUCUGUGUCUCUCGCUGGUGCUGGCACAGGAGCUUGGGAUCUGUCUCCUCUUUCGCCUCCUGCACCUUGAGAGCCCUGGGCUACUCUGUCACAGCCCCUGUUGCCCUGCGAUCUGUAGGUCCUUGGGGACGCAUAGUUAAGGUGCCAGGACAUCCUGGAAGCUGGGAAAUGGUAACUUCUUAGACCAAGUCUAGAAACAGUCUGAGGACAAUAACAAUUCCAUUCUAAAAAGAAUCUCCCAACAUUUCUUCUAUCUCAACCUCAACUGCAUCUGCCUGUGAACUUCCAGCUUACCAAGGCUCUAUAUCUUCUGGCAGUGACAAAGGCUCCUUCCAUGGUUGGUGUGAGUAGGCUUGGACACCUGCAGGGCAGACACCCAGGAAUAAUCAACUGGGCCUUCAGUGGUCCUCUUUUGCAGGGUCAAGAUAUGUAUUCAUUUCCUACCACCGUAGUGGAAGAGAGAUUUUCCCUAUCUUUACAACUGAUAGCAUUUCCAACAGUAAGCUGUGAGAUUCUGCUUGAAAUCACCUCUCAAACAAAUAAAAAACAGACCUGGGAGACAUGCUACACUCAUUCUGCUGAGGAAAUAGGCAUCAUAGCUGGGAAACGGAUUCACAAGACCCAGGCUGUUCCCUACAUAUGUUUCCUCCUCCGACAUCAGUUCAUCAGUCAAUCAAGCCAUGUGAGAGUGGAGGCCUUGUAUUCCCUAUUAUUCUUGGGCACUCUACUCCAAGUAGGAAAAGGCCAGGAGGUCCUGUUAAAGGAUGCACUCAGAGCCCGGGCUCCCUAACAUAUGAGAGUGCUAACCAGCAGGUGUAGACUUUUCAGGAGUGAAGAAUGAGGCAGGCAUUCCAAACCUGGACCUUCAUCACCUUUUGUUUCAUCUCAAGACAAUUCUGAGGGACUGUUUUGGAGCGUGUCUGGAAGGUGAACCUUGAAGAAGAGUGUGGGCUUUGAUGUGACUCAGUUGAGAUCUUUCAUGGGGAGGCAGGAAUUCAAUGCCCAGAAUCUGGGCUGGUGUCUUUGAGGUCAGUAGGUUGCGUCUUUGUAUCCAAGUCCAUUGUUACUAGGUUGGAGGCUGGAGAUUCUAAAUGGCUUCCAGACCAUCUCUCUGAUUCUCUUUGGGAGAUGGGGUCUGAAAGACAAUGUCAGUAGUUUUGGGAAAUUCUAGAAAGUGUGCUUGGAAACGUGGGAAGAGCUCUUGCCUAGUGCCUAAAUGCUCCAUUUGCAGCUCUAGCCAAGUAGAUACUUGGUAGGUAUAGAGCCGGGUUUGCGUUUAUAUCAGCAAAACCUAUGUCAGAGUUGAAGAAGUAGUCAGGAAAAAGCGUCUUGGUCGCAGGCCGGGGAACAUCUUAAAAGCAAACUUCUAGCCUGCUGACUCUUGGCAAUGAGUGUUGGAUCCUGGCUAAAGUGCCUUGAAUGCAGCAUGAGGCCAAUCCAUGAAUCCAACUUCUCAUGGAGAAAUGUUAAUAUUUUUUCAGUUUGAAUCAAUCAGGGUGAAACUACCAUGCUAUUGGUUUGCUUACUUUUUAUUAUUUCAUGUAAAAUCUAAGACAAAAUACAUUAAAUGCUUAUUGACAUAUGUAUUUAUUCUUCACCAGGCUGAUAAUAUCUGCCUAAUUUUAAACUUUCUUCCAUUUUGUAGGUUUCAACUUAUUCUAUUGUAAGAUACUGUUAAAUCUAAUAGAGGCAUUGUCACUUUUACGUAUAAUUUUAUUUUAUUUCAUAUAUUUCCUAUUGGCUUUUUACAUUUAAAUUAUGGAGCACUUCAUCAUAUAAAAAACUUCAAUUAUAUUUAAACAGUAAGUCUUUGGAUUUUUUUGCCUUGUAAUUUCCAUAUUACAUAAUAAUGAGAUAAACAUUAAUGUUUUCAGGGUACUUUAAAUUUUAGAUAAUUACUCAUUGUAUUCAUGUGAAAUUUGUUUUUACUGCAUGUGUGGGUUGGAGGACUGUUUUCACUUCUGAUUCAUCUUUACUCUUAUCUCAUCAGAGCUCAUACCUCUUGUAGUUGGGGGAUUGCAGUUUAUAAUUCCAAUAAAUGGGGCAAAUUCAAUAAUAACAUAAUACAAAUGAGUUUGAAUGCAGGACAGGUCUUCAAAGCAUACACAACAUGGGCCUACAUAUGUACAACAAUAAUAAUUUAUAAGUUACUGUUUGGAUGGAAAGUAAAAGUACAGAAAAUUUGUUAAAGGAAAUUAAAAUGGAGAUCAUGUCUCAAUAAUCUCUGAGCAGACAAAAUUAGUUAGGUCUCAUAAGUGAUCUCAACCUCGCUUGAUUUGCAAAUACAAACAAAACUUAAAUUAUUUCUUGUAGCUGCAUAUUGAAAAAAGAGAAAUGAAGCUCAACCAGUCAGAAGUAGCCAACAACCUUAUAUAAAUAGAAACUGUCCAACAAGGUAAACAGACAAACAAAAAACAAUAAAAAAAGUUGUGCUACCACCAAAUGAUUUCUUUGUUUCUACAUUUUUCAAAUAAAUACUUGCUUCUUACACUGUCAAUGAAGCACUCAAUAUCUUUCCGUCUGAUAUUUUAUAAUUUAUCAAUUGCUCUUACUCAAAUAAACACUUUGCAAUUUCA